AAUGGGCGAAAGCCUGACGGAGCAACGCCGCGUGAGGGAUGAAGGCCUCUGGGCUGUAAACCUCUUUUAUCAAGGAAGAAGAUCCGACGGUACUUGAUGAAUAAGCCACGGCUAAUUCCGUGCUAGCAGCCGCGGUAAUACGGGAGUGGCAAGCGUUAUCCGGAAUUAUUGGGCGUAAAGCGUCCGCAGGCGGCCCUUCAAGUCUGCUGUUAAAAAGUGGAGCUUAACUCCAUCAUGGCAGUGGAAACUGUUGGGCUUGAGUGUGGUAGGGGCAGAGGGAAUUCCCGGUGUAGCGGUGAAAUGCGUAGAUAUCGGGAAGAACACCAGUGGCGAAGGCGCUCUGCUGGGCCAUCACUGACGCUCAUGGACGAAAGCCAGGGGAGCGAAAGGGAUU
This 394-nucleotide ribosomal RNA is filed under the name uncultured Gammaproteobacteria bacterium. RNAcentral describes it as "bacterial SSU rRNA". It matches the Rfam family "Bacterial small subunit ribosomal RNA", at positions 370 to 779 of the family's 1533-position model. Lineage: Bacteria; Pseudomonadati; Pseudomonadota; Gammaproteobacteria. The record is from RNAcentral.